AUUGGAUCUCAUCCCGCUCUCAGAUCCCAUUGACCGAUCUGGCAGGAUCGGGCCGCUUCUGACUUACCUUUUUACUAUUUGUAAUGACUUUUGACGCGCAUUUCUGUGUUUGAAUGAAGUAGGGUAAGAAGAGGUGAAUUAUGCAGUAUACACUACAAAUCACCAAGAGGGAACUUAUUCUACACGGGACAGCACGGCUUCUCCAUCAGAUUUCUAGGACAUCUAAGAAGGGUUGAUGCUGUUCAAUGGCCACACAAAAAGCAAGGAACUUGAAGGAUUCAAAUCCAGGAGGAGCCACUCCAACACUGCUGUAGUUACUCCACGUGCAGAUAUUGGGCUAAAGAAGCAGGCCCCAUCAAUAGUCAGUAAACAACUACUGACUGCGUCUUCUUCUGUUUGUAUCUCUGUGAGAGAAUGA
This 418-nucleotide long non-coding RNA is filed under the name Gopherus agassizii (Agassiz's desert tortoise). RNAcentral's name for it is "lncRNA (ENSGAGG00000019316.1)". Lineage: Eukaryota; Metazoa; Chordata; Testudines; Testudinidae. The record is from RNAcentral.